CCCUUAGAUGUUCGGGGCCGCACGCGCGCUACACUGAAGGACUCAGCGUGUCUCUCCCCCUAUCCCGAAAGGGAUGGGCAACCCGUUGAACCUCCUUCGUGCUAGGGAUUGGGGUUUGCAAUUAUCCCCCAUGAACGAGGAAUUCCCAGUAAGCGCGAGUCAUCAGCUCGCGUUGAUUACGUCCCUGCCCUUUGUACACACCGCCCGUCGCUACUACCGAUUGGAUGGCUUAGUGAGACCCUCGGAUCGGUCCCGACUCGGGGUGGGCUUCUGCCCCGGUCGUGGUUUCGCCGAGAAGACGGUUAAACUUGACUAUCUAGAGGAAGUAAAAGUCGUAACA
This 340-nucleotide ribosomal RNA is filed under the name uncultured eukaryote. RNAcentral describes it as "partial 18S ribosomal RNA". It matches the Rfam family "Eukaryotic small subunit ribosomal RNA", at positions 1470 to 1796 of the family's 1831-position model. The record is from RNAcentral.